CCGGAUUCUCUGGGCGCACAGGUCGCCUGAGCCGCCUCCGCGGCCGCCGGGGUCGUGCGUGUGGCCGGGGGGCUCCGAGGAGCAGGCGGGGGCGCCGGGGCUUUUGCUGAGUUGGCGGGGUUGGCCAUGGCCGCUGCCCGCCCAGCGCGGGGGCCGGAGCUCCCGCUCCUGGGGCUGCUGCUGUUGCUGCUGGGGGGCCCGGGCCGGGGGUCGGCCUCGAGCGGGAACGCGACCGGGCCUGGGCCUCGGAGCGCGGGCGGGAGCGCGAGGAGGAGCGCGGCGGUGACCGGCCCUCCGCCGCCGCUGAGCCACUGCGGCCGGGCUGCCCCCUGCGAGCCGCUGCGCUACAACGUGUGCCUGGGCUCGGUGCUGCCCUACGGGGCCACCUCCACACUGCUGGCCGGAGACUCGGACUCCCAGGAGGAAGCGCACGGCAAGCUCGUGCUCUGGUCGGGCCUCCGGAAUGCCCCCCGCUGCUGGGCAGUGAUCCAGCCCCUGCUGUGUGCCGUAUACAUGCCCAAGUGUGAGAAUGACUGGGUGGAGCUGCCCAGCCGCACCCUCUGCCAGGCCACCCGAGGCCCCUGUGCCAUCGUGGAGAGGGAACGGGGCUGGCCUGACUUCCUGCGCUGCACUCCUGACCGCUUCCCUGAAGGCUGCACGAAUGAGGUGCAGAACAUCAAGUUCAACAGUUCAGGCCAGUGCGAAGUGCCCUUGGUUCGGACAGACAACCCCAAGAGCUGGUACGAGGACGUGGAGGGCUGCGGCAUCCAGUGCCAGAACCCGCUCUUCACAGAGGCUGAGCACCAGGACAUGCACAGCUACAUCGCGGCCUUCGGGGCCGUCACGGGCCUCUGCACGCUCUUCACCCUGGCCACAUUCGUGGCUGACUGGCGGAACUCGAAUCGCUACCCUGCUGUUAUUCUCUUCUACGUCAAUGCGUGCUUCUUUGUGGGCAGCAUUGGCUGGCUGGCCCAGUUCAUGGAUGGUGCCCGCCGAGAGAUCGUCUGCCGUGCAGAUGGCACCAUGAGGCUUGGGGAGCCCACCUCCAAUGAGACUCUGUCCUGCGUCAUCAUCUUUGUCAUCGUGUACUACGCCCUGAUGGCUGGUGUGGUUUGGUUUGUGGUCCUCACCUAUGCCUGGCACACUUCCUUCAAAGCCCUGGGCACCACCUACCAGCCUCUCUCGGGCAAGACCUCCUACUUCCACCUGCUCACCUGGUCACUCCCCUUUGUCCUCACUGUGGCAAUCCUUGCUGUGGCGCAGGUGGAUGGGGACUCUGUGAGUGGCAUUUGUUUUGUGGGCUACAAGAACUACCGAUACCGUGCGGGCUUCGUGCUGGCCCCAAUCGGCCUGGUGCUCAUCGUGGGAGGCUACUUCCUCAUCCGAGGAGUCAUGACUCUGUUCUCCAUCAAGAGCAACCACCCCGGGCUGCUGAGUGAGAAGGCUGCCAGCAAGAUCAACGAGACCAUGCUGCGCCUGGGCAUUUUUGGCUUCCUGGCCUUUGGCUUUGUGCUCAUUACCUUCAGCUGCCACUUCUACGACUUCUUCAACCAGGCUGAGUGGGAGCGCAGCUUCCGGGACUAUGUGCUAUGUCAGGCCAAUGUGACCAUCGGGCUGCCCACCAAGCAGCCCAUCCCUGACUGUGAGAUCAAGAAUCGCCCGAGCCUUCUGGUGGAGAAGAUCAACCUGUUUGCCAUGUUUGGAACUGGCAUCGCCAUGAGCACCUGGGUCUGGACCAAGGCCACGCUGCUCAUCUGGAGGCGUACCUGGUGCAGGUUGACUGGGCAGAGUGACGAUGAGCCAAAGCGGAUCAAGAAGAGCAAGAUGAUUGCCAAGGCCUUCUCCAAGCGGCACGAGCUCCUGCAGAACCCAGGCCAGGAGCUGUCCUUCAGCAUGCACACUGUGUCCCACGAUGGGCCCGUGGGUGAGCCUCACCCCUCCUCCACUGGAGCCGCCUGGCCCCGCGCUGCCCAUGUGCUAGUCUCUCCCAGCCUGCUGGGGGCACACAGAUUAUUUGGAAGACCGACUGUGAGGAGCAAGGCGCUCCCUCCAUCACUCACAUACCCAUUCUUCCCCCGGCCCCUCCUACCCUCUGGGGGGCUCUCCCCUCUCUGUUUCUGCCCCUGAGUCUGCUUGCCGGUGCUUGGGUUCCAAGAAGACUCCCCUCCCUCUCCCUUCUCAUAAAUUCUCCAGUUGCUCUCCCUGGGCAAGAGUAAGUCAGGGUUCCAAGAACUGGAUUUCUGGCCUCCAGUUAGGCCCUUUGGGGACGUGAGGCCCUUCUCUUCAGAUUCUGAAGGGGUAGAGAUCACCGUGGUUACAGGCGGGCUUGGCCUUUGACCUCAAUGAGCCCUCAGCUGAUGUCUCCUCUGCCUGGGCCCAGCAUGUCACCAAGAUGGUGGCUCGGAGAGGAGCCAUACUGCCCCAGGAUAUUUCUGUCACCCCUGUGGCAACUCCAGUGCCCCCAGAGGAACAAGCCAACCUGUGGCUGGUUGAGGCAGAGAUCUCCCCAGAGCUGCAGAAGCGCCUGGGCUGGAAGAAGAAGAGGAGGAAGAAGAAGAAGGAGGUGUGCCCUCUGGCACCGCCCCCUGAGCUUCACCCCCCUGCCCCUGCCCCCAGUACCAUUCCUCGACUGCCUCAGCUGCCCCGGCAGAAAUGCCUGGUGGCUGCAGGUGCCUGGGGAGCUGGGGACUCUUGCCGACAGGGAGUGUGGACCCUGGUCUCCAACCCAUUCUGCCCAGAGCCCAGUCCCCCUCAGGAUCCAUUUCUGCCCAGUGCACCGGCCCCCAUGGCAUGGGCUCAUGGCCGCCGACAGGGCCUGGGGCCUAUUCACUCCCGCACCAACCUGAUGGACGCAGAACUCAUGGAUGCAGACUCGGACUUCUGAGCCUGCAGAGCAGGACCUGGGACAGGAAAGAGAGGAACCAAUACCUUCAAGGCUCUGCUUCAUCACCGAGCAUGCUUCCCUAGGAUCCCGUCUUCCAGAGAACCUGUGGGCUGACUGCCCUCCGAAGAGAGUUCUGGAUGUCUGGCUCAAAGCAGCAGGACUGUGGGAAAGAGCCUAACAUCUCCAUGGGGAGGCCUCACCCCAGGGACAGGGCCCUGGAGCUCAGGGUCCUUGUUUCUGCCCCACCAGCUGCAGCCUGGUUGGCAGCAUCUGCUCCAUCGGGGCAGGGGGUAUGCAGAGCUUGUGGUGGGGCAGGAACGGUAGAGGCAGAGGUGACAGUUCCCAGAGUGGGCUUUGGUGGCCAGGGAGGCAGCCUAGCCUAUGUCUGGCAGAUGAGGGCUGGCUGCCGUUUUCUGGGCUGAUGGGUGCCCUUUCCUGGCAGUCUCAGUCCAAAAGUGUUGACUGUGUCAUCAGUCCUUUGUCUAAGUAGGGCCAGGGCGCCGUAUUCCUCUCCCAGGUGUUUGUGGGGCUGGAAGGACCUGCUCCCACAGGGGCCAUGUCCUCUCUUAAUAGGUGGCCCUACCCCAAACCCAUCUUUUGUUCUCCUAUAUCCUCCUUCUCCUGUUCCAUUUCAGUUCAGUUUCAGCGGUGCCAACCUCUUUGCGUUUCCUUUUUGUUGAUGAGGACCCAGAGCUGCUGCACACACUCACCUCUAACCCCCUCCCCUCGCUGCUGGGCCCCAUCUCCACAGGAGAGACUGGUUCAGCUCUAGGGCCUCAGUCUGGAGUGGGAUAGGAGCAGUGAGUGACAAAGCCUCUGAAAGAUGCAUCAUCUCUUCCUCACACCCAUUCAGUGGGGCUCUAGACUUGAGGGGCUACCCUGGGAAGCUGCUGUAGCUUCAGCCAGGCAAGAAAGCUUCCUUCAACCUGCAUAGCCAGUGGGUGAGGAGAUUCCCACCUUCCAUAGCCUCCAAACAUGUUCCCAAGGCCCCACUUUCAAGAAUCAGACAGCAGGAAGCCAUAGAUGCUGGCUGGGUUCCAGGUUAUGGGGAGAAGAAAUACAGUCAAUAAAAGGUUUUUGUAUAAA
Molecule: RNA transcript, 3970 nt
Organism: Pan troglodytes (chimpanzee)
Lineage: Eukaryota; Metazoa; Chordata; Mammalia; Primates; Hominidae
Gene: SMO
Gene name: smoothened, frizzled class receptor
Exons: 12
Source: RefSeq, a predicted model, not a curated record